This 247-nucleotide unclassified non-coding RNA is filed under the name Hevea brasiliensis (rubber tree). Lineage: Eukaryota; Viridiplantae; Streptophyta; Magnoliopsida; Malpighiales; Euphorbiaceae. The record is from RNAcentral.
UUACCAUUUAAAGUCAAACCAACCAUGAAGAUUAUCAGGCCUGGCUCAUGGAUGUCAGCCUAAAAGUUACACCAUUAUUCAUUUAUUUGCUCUUAAAAUUCACAAAUCUUUCAAAAUUAUGCAAUUCUGUAGAAGUUCAAAAAACCAAGCCUCUAAACUGGCAUAUGGCCUUAUGCAGCAUGGCUCUCAGAAGGUUCUAUUUUCUUUUGCACAUGCCCAAGCACUUGUGUGUUUAUGUUGCUGUGUG